GAUGAACGCUGGCGGCGUGCUUAACACAUGCAAGUCGAACGAGAGAAGAUUGGUGCUUGCACUGAUCCGAUCGAGUGGCGGACGGGUGAGUAACGCGUGGGUAACCUGCCUCAUACAGGGGAAUAACAGUUGGAAAGGGCUGCUAAAACCGCAGAAGCGCACAGUAUCGCAUGAUACAGUGUGAAAAACAUCGGUGGUAUGAGAUGGACCCGCGUCUGAUUAGCUAGUUGGUGAGGUAACGGCCCACCAAGGCAACGAUCAGUAGCCGGCCUGGGAGGGUGAACGGCCAAAUUGGGACUGAGACACGGCCCAAACUCCUACGGGAGGCAGCAGUGGGGAAUAUUGCACAAUGGGGGAAACCCUGAUGCAGCGACGCCGCGUGAGUGAUGAAGUAUUUCGGUAUGUAAAGCUCUACCAGCAGGGAAGAUAAUGACGGUACCUGACUAAGAAGCACCGGCUAAAUACGUGCCAGCAGCCGCAGUAA
RNAcentral lists this ribosomal RNA (484 nucleotides) under uncultured bacterium. Its description in RNAcentral is "partial 16S ribosomal RNA". It matches the Rfam family "Bacterial small subunit ribosomal RNA", at positions 28 to 523 of the family's 1533-position model. The record is from RNAcentral.